This 450-nucleotide ribosomal RNA is filed under the name uncultured bacterium. Its description in RNAcentral is "partial 16S ribosomal RNA". It matches the Rfam family "Bacterial small subunit ribosomal RNA", at positions 354 to 796 of the family's 1533-position model. The record is from RNAcentral.
GUGGGGAAUUUUGGACAAUGGGCGAAAGCCUGAUCCAGCCAUUCCGCGUGCAGGAUGAAGGCCCUCGGGUUGUAAACUGCUUUUGUACAGAACGAAAAAGCUCCGGCUAAUACCUGGAGUCCAUGACGGUACUGUAAGAAUAAGCACCGGCUAACUACGUGCCAGCAGCCGCGGUAAUACGUAGGGUGCAAGCGUUAAUCGGAAUUACUGGGCGUAAAGCGUGCGCAGGCGGUUUUGUAAGACAGAGGUGAAAUCCCCGGGCUCAACCUGGGAACUGCCUUUGUGACUGCAAGGCUGGAGUGCGGCAGAGGGGGAUGGAAUUCCGCGUGUAGCAGUGAAAUGCGUAGAUAUGCGGAGGAACACCGAUGGCGAAGGCAAUCCCCUGGGCCUGCACUGACGCUCAUGCACGAAAGCGUGGGGAGCGAACAGGAUUAGAUACCCGAGUAGUCC